RNAcentral lists this ribosomal RNA (456 nucleotides) under uncultured Sphingobacteriales bacterium. Its description in RNAcentral is "bacterial SSU rRNA". It matches the Rfam family "Bacterial small subunit ribosomal RNA", at positions 925 to 1382 of the family's 1533-position model. The record is from RNAcentral. Lineage: Bacteria; Pseudomonadati; Bacteroidota; Sphingobacteriia; Sphingobacteriales.
ACAAGCGGUGGAGCAUGUGGUUUAAUUCGAUGAUACGCGAGGAACCUUACCUGGGCUCGAACGUAAGAUGACUGUAGGUGAAAGCUUACAUCUCUUCGGAGCAUUUUACGAGGUGCUGCAUGGUUGUCGUCAGCUCGUGCCGUGAGGUGUCGGGUUAAGUCCCAUAACGAGCGCAACCCUACCUUUAGUUGCCAUCAGGUAAUGCUGGGGACUCUAAAGGAACUGCCUACGCAAGUAGUGAGGAAGGCGGGGAUGACGUCAAAUCAGCACGGCCCUUACGUCCAGGGCUACACACGUGCUACAAUGGCCGAUACAGAGGGCAGCUACCUGGUGACAGGAUGCAAAUCUCCAAAGUCGGUCUCAGUUCGGAUCGGAGUCUGCAACCCGACUCCGUGAAGUUGGAUUCGCUAGUAAUCGCGCAUCUGCCAUGGCGCGGUGAAUACGUUCCCGGGCCUU